This is a long non-coding RNA of Globicephala melas (long-finned pilot whale), 1745 nucleotides long. RefSeq lists it as uncharacterized. NCBI's taxonomy places the organism in Eukaryota, Metazoa, Chordata, Mammalia, Artiodactyla, Delphinidae. The record is from RefSeq and is a predicted model, not a curated record.
UCAAGGGUCAACUGUAUGUUUCUCCACCUGCCUCCUGGACCCAGGGAUUAAUGGGCACAUGAAGACACAAUGGCAUCAGUGGUGCCAAGGCCUAGUUUCUCAAAACGCUGAGUUAAGGAGCUUGGGAGGAGGGUGGGCAUGGAAUAGAUGUUGGGGGAAGGGAUUGUGGCUCAGAAGUGGACUGCUUUUGUUCUUCUGUCAUCAUCUUAGCAGGGCAAUGUGACCUUUGAUGAUGUGGCCAUGUACUUCUCUUUGGAGGAACGGAAUCUCCUUGAUGAGCCUCACAGAUGCCUGUACCAAGAUGUGAUACUGGAGAAUUUGGCACUUGUAACCUCCCUGGGUCAGACCCUCAAACCUACCCCUGUGCCCAGAGAUAGCCUCUGCCCUUUCUCUUUCCCCAGGACCAGCUAUGUCAUUCUCAAAUCAGGACUGUGGGCACUGCUUCCUCAGUUUCCUGAGUAGGUGCUGUGGUUGGUAGGACUGCCCUCUCCUCUCUUUGAGCAGGCCCAACACCUGCUUUCCUGCAGAUUCCCAGGGAAGGAUGCAGGGUCCAGAGUCUUGUACUCAUCCUGCGUCCUACCUUACUUGCCUUCUCCCGGGCCAGGUGACUUUGUCCAGAUCCAAGGAACGUGUGUGACCCAGGUCUAACUUACUUUCUCUAGUUGACAUUUCCUCAUGCCUGCCUGUGCCAGCAAUUACCAUCAGUGACAUAGUCACUACUUAUGUGGAUCAUGUUCUGUUCUUGUAAGAGCCUCCCCCAAAGUUCUCUUUGUAAUAGUUUUCUUUCCUGUGGGCUAUCAGUAUUCUGGGCCAAUCCUGAAUGCCUUCUGUCCUAUCUUUCCCUUAACACUUCCAUCACCCAGGUCCCAUGUAGUUGCUCAUCUUGGGGGUGGGGUGGAGAGCCCUGGGUGGUUCACAGAAUGGAAAUAAAUUGUCGUAGUCAGUUCGUGCUGCUAUAACAAACUAACAUGGUUAGGUGUUUAAACAAACAUUUAUUUCUCACUCUUCUGCAGUCUGGGAAGUUGAAGAUCAAGGCACUGGCCUUGUGGAAAGAGCCUUCUCUUUUUCUACGAAAAGAAUAGGUUGUUGGUGUGGAGUGGAGAAUAAGGAGGCAUCUUCUGAGCACAGCAUUUCUGCAAAGUAAUGCCACAGGAUAGGACUCUUAAAGCAGGUCUGUCUCCCCAGAAGGCCCACCUCUGUGAGAUGUGUGGACCCAUGUUGAGAGAGAGUUUGCACUUGGUUGAACACAGAAUCCAUGAAAAAUGAGGAUUGACUGAUUGUCUUGCCAUAAAUUGUGCAUAAUUAAAGAUAUACUCAGGCUGAAACUUGUGCUUUUUUACCAUUUUAUAGACUAACCAAGAUUUUGUGAGGACUUUGGUGGAGUCUGGGAUGUUUCAUUCAGCCAGGAUAUUCUGGAUGCUGUCUGCCAAGUUGUGUUGUAAGUUCUAAAAUUAAGGCCAAUAGGUAUGCUGCCUUGACAUCUGGUGAAACAAGUAUGCCCUCAAAUGGCCAUGGUGCAAGUUUCCCUUCACAUGCUUCUCACAGGUAAUGUCUCCUAACCUUACAACCCUUUUUAUCAAAGGGAGCAGGCACAGUUCCUGCUUAUCCCUUUGUAGUUAGUUUCAGUUCCCUACCAGCCUGCAGAGUCAUUUAAACAAGCCAGUCGUGCCCUCUUGCGGGAAGCAGGGCACCGUACCCUCUCGAUCCCACAGAGACUGCAUCCCACAGCCCUUUGUUGUUCACUC